Molecule: ribosomal RNA, 347 nt
Filed under: uncultured bacterium
Lineage: Bacteria
Description: bacterial SSU rRNA
Rfam family: Bacterial small subunit ribosomal RNA
Source: RNAcentral
GAGUUUGAUCGUGGCUCAGAUUGAACGCUGGCGGCAGGCCUAACACAUGCAAGUCGAGCGGUAGAGGAGAAGCUUGCUUCUCUUGAGAGCGGCGGACGGGUGAGUAAUGCCUAGGAAUCUGCCUGGUAGGUGGGGGAUAACGCUCGGAAACGGACGCUAAUACCGCAUACGUCCUACGGGAGAAAGCAGGGGACCUUCGGGCCUUGCGCUAUCAGAUGAGCUUAGGUCGGAUUAGCUAGUUGGUGAGGUAAUGGCUCACCAAGGCGACGGAUCCGUAACUGGUCUCGAGAGGAUGAUCAGUCACACUGGAACUGAGACACGGUCCAGACUCCUACGGGAGGCGAGCA